Molecule: ribosomal RNA, 1186 nt
Filed under: uncultured organism
Description: partial 16S ribosomal RNA
Rfam family: Bacterial small subunit ribosomal RNA
Source: RNAcentral
GAUGAGCUUGCGGUCCAUUAGCUUGUUGGUAAGGUAAAGGCUUACCAAGGCGACGAUGGAUAGCCGGCCUGAGAGGGUGAUCGGCCACAUUGGGACUGAGAUACGGCCCAGACUCCUACGGGAGGCAGCAGCUAAGAAUCUUCCGCAAUGGGCGCAAGCCUGACGGAGCGACACCACGUGAGCGAUGAAGGCAUUCUGUUGUAAAGCUCUUUUCUAUGGGAAGAAUAAUAUCUGGAGGAAAUGCCAGGUAGAUGACGGUACCAUAGGAAUAAGCCCCGGCUAAUUACGUGCCAGCAGCCGCGGUAAUACGUAAGGGGCAAGCGUUGUUCGGAAUCACUGGGCGUAAAGGGCGUGUAGGCGGCUAGGUAAGUGUGAUUUGAAAUCUUCAGGCUCAACCUGGAAAUUGGAUUGCAAACUGUCUAGCUAGAGUACGGGAAGGGAGACUGGAAUUCCUAGUGUAGGGGUGAAAUCCGUAGAUAUUAGGAAGAACACCGGUGGCGAAGGCGAGUCUCUGGCCUGAUACUGACGCUGAGGCGCGAAAGCAUGGGGAGCGAACAGGAUUAGAUACCCUGGUAGUCCAUGCCCUAAACGUUGUGCACUAGGUGCGGGAAGCACUGAAGCUUUUCGUACCGUAGCUAACGUGUUAAGUGCACCGCCUGGGGAGUAUGCUCGCAAGGGUGAAACUCAAAGGAAUUGACGGGGGCCCGCACAAGCGGUGGAUCAUGUGGUUUAAUUCGACGAUAAGCGAGAAACCUCACCUAGACUUGACAUCUCGAGAAGGUUCUGGAAACAGAACUGUGCCGCAAGGAACUCGAUGACAGGUGCUGCAUGGUUGUCGUCAGCUCGUGCCCUGAGGUGUUCGGUUAAGUCCGUAAACGAGCGCAACCCUUGUCAUAUGUUGUAUUUCUCAUAUGAAACUGCCGGCUCCAAGCCGGAGGAAGGUAGGGAUGACGUCAAAUCAGCAUGGCCCUUAUGUCUAGGGCUACACACGUGAUACAAUGGGUCGUACAAUGGGUAGCCAAGGGGCAAUCCGGAGCCAAUCCCUAAAACGAUCCUCAGUUCGGAUUGAGGUCUGCAACUCGACCUCAUGAAGUUGGAAUCGCUAGUAACCGUGGAUCACAACGCCACGGUGAUAUGUUCCCGGGUCUUGUACUCACCGCCCGUCACAUCACGGAAGGUGGAAGCA